RNAcentral lists this long non-coding RNA (1806 nucleotides) under Heterocephalus glaber (naked mole-rat). RNAcentral's name for it is "lncRNA (ENSHGLG00000033482.1)". Lineage: Eukaryota; Metazoa; Chordata; Mammalia; Rodentia; Bathyergidae. The record is from RNAcentral.
GCGUGAGUUGCAGUUAUAAAUUAAGUCAGAUAAAAUAUGCCUGACCUUUCCACAAUUGAAACAAAAACCAGUUUUUUUCUCCCUGUAUCAAAUGCCAGAUUGUUAGUGAAAUGCUAAUGGCAGUAGGAAAGGUUGGUGCUGCCUUAGUUUCAGAGACUCUGGCACCCAUAGCAUUUUUAAUUGCUCUUCCUGGCAAGGCCACCCCUCUUGCUCCCCCAGCUGCCUGAAGAGCCAGAGCCAGCUCCAGACCCCAGCUCCAUUCAUUAGAUCAGGUCCCGGAGGAGGUGCAGAGAGGGGUGUGGGGUGGAUGCCUGAAGUCUGUCCUGCUCAGAAACAGGUAGUUGAGCACAGGCAGAGGAGAUGGGGUGGCCACAGGCUCAGCCACCUGUCCUCAGUCCAGACUUAUGUCCCUGUGCUGUGGAGGAAUGCCAAGCUGCUUGCUGGGCACCUGGGGGCAGGGCCUGGUGCCUGCUCAUAGCCAGCUCUUAGCAAACCCCCAGCCUCACCGGUCUCUCCUCUUCCAAGUGGAACUGGUAUCUCUAUCCAGCUCCCUCACAGGCUCUUAUGAGGUCAUGCACAUGCCAGCUGUUUCUGAUUUAUAAAACAUACAAAGGUGGAGAGGCUGUACUUGACCUUUGGGUUUGGAGGUGGCACCCACCUGUGUCUCUUCACCCUGGGAUGCUGCUUAUCAGCUAAGCAUUGGUGGGGAGAGCAUUACUUCUCUGUGAUUUAGUAAUUGUGAUGUUGUAUUUUAAGCUCUGCUCACAUGCCCAGCAUCUUUCUAGACAUUUUCUAGUGACACUAAUCCUCACAAAGAUCCCAAUUAUCCCCCAUUUUACCAAGAAAACUGAGGCUGAGAUGUUAAAGGACAGAUGUGUCAGGCCACCUGUGACGAUGGUGCUGUGUCAAGCCCAUCAAGCCCUCUGCUGUCUUAGUGACCAUGGCUGCUUUGGCUGCCACCCAGCCCAUCAAUUGCCCAGAGGCCUGCUUUUCUACUUCCCUAACAUUUGGGAUGCUUCCAAGUGAAGACCAUUUAUGCCCCCUUACUCCUAGAGGGGACCUGCAUGUCACCCCUGCUGAACCAGUAGCAUCCUGGGACUGGUCAUUCCCAUUGGGGUUUCCUCUGUCAUUUGAAGACUGUUGUUUUUUGAGGACUGUCCAGGAAAGGUUGCCCAGUCCAGCAUCUUCUGAUCUCAUCUCUUUCACGGUGUUUUGAAUGGGCAUGAUGUCAUUUGUUAUCAGCACAGAAUGCUGGCUAUAAUGGGUGCUUAACUGCCUGCAAGGAGAGCUCCGAAGAUUGAGUUAAACAGAUAAGACCCUCACUACCAUUUAAUACGCUCUGAGCCUUGACAAAUGCCUACUAUUUGUUCUCUAACUGCUUUAUCUCUGUAAAAUGAUAUGUUGAAUUACUAUGAGCUAACUGUUGUAGAAAGAAUUUUCCCCUUAACGUAUGUAAACUGUCUGGUUUAAAACAAAAACAAAAAAAACUUAACAGUUGUGGCCCACACUUUGCCUUCCCCAAGACUAAGGAACCUCCGUCCCAUUCACUACUGUAUAUUUAGAUCUGGCAGUUUCCUUUAUUUUUUGUUUUGAAAAAUUAAUACAUACACAUGGUAAAACAUCCAACAGUACAGAGCAUACAAUAAAAAGUAACCUUCCAACAGGGGCCAAGCUCCAAAGCCCUUGUCCAGUUAACUGCUGCUGUCUAUAUCCUGUGUAUUCUUUCAAAGCGAUUCUAUGCAUUUACAAGUUUUAAAAUAUGUAUAUUUAUAUAUCUAUUUUUAAUACAAACAGUAGCAUUCUAUA